Molecule: small RNA, 672 nt
Filed under: Arabidopsis thaliana (thale cress)
Lineage: Eukaryota; Viridiplantae; Streptophyta; Magnoliopsida; Brassicales; Brassicaceae
Description: ATSL082670
Source: RNAcentral
UAAUAAACACGAUAAAUUACUAAAUUUGUUAUAAAAUUAAAAUUAAUAAAAUAAUAAGAUAAUAAUUUUUUGAAAUCCUUGUGUAAAAAUAUGAUCCUAAUAAUAUCAGUAAUUAAUUAUCAUAAUUCUUAAGCAUACAUUUUAAAAUAAUCUAGUAUAAUAUGAAUCUAGUGUUAUUUGUCUUUUCGUACGGAUCUCGUUGAAGAUUAUCUGUAAUUUUCUAUAUUGCAUCAAAACUCCUGGUGUCGUUUUCUCGAUCUGCCUCCAAAAGUUUUGAAGAGUUUUAUACUUAAUAAUUACUUUUUUACAUGUCACUAUUUCCAAAGGUUCCACAUUAUCUUUGAACAUUCAUUCUAUUUCGAUAAUCAAGGGUGUAAAUGGAUACCUAGAUUUGUUAAGAUGAAAGAGUCGAAUUGUGGGUUCAACUUUAUUCCUCAAGAAAUUCACCAUUUGCUUUUAACAAAAUUUCAACCCAAUUUUAUUGGGGCCCACCAUAAAGCUGAAAAUUUACACUUUUUAGCUGAAAAUUGUCCAACCUCAAAUUAGGAGAAGAACAAAUUGAACGUGAUAAAAAUUUAUAAUAUAUUUCUAUCUCUAUUACAUUUAAAUUAAUUAAUUUGUUUAGAGAAUCUAGAAAAUUCAAAUACUAAACUAAUUCAGUUCAAUCUUUGA